This 587-nucleotide ribosomal RNA is filed under the name uncultured bacterium. RNAcentral's name for it is "partial 16S ribosomal RNA". It matches the Rfam family "Bacterial small subunit ribosomal RNA", at positions 355 to 1375 of the family's 1533-position model. The record is from RNAcentral.
UGGGGAAUUUUGGGCAAUGGGCGAAAGCCUGAUCCAGCAAUGCCGCGUGUGUGAAGAAGGCCUUCGGGUUGUAAAGCACUUUUGUCCGGAAAGAAAUCCUUGGCUCUAAUACAGUCGGGGGAUGACGGUACCGGAAGAAUAAGCACCGGCUAACUACGUGCCAGCAGCCGCGGUAAUACGUAGGGUGCAAGCGUUAAUCGGAAUUACUGGGCGUAAAGCGUGCGCAGGCGGUUUGCUAAGACCGAUGUGAAAUCCCCGGGCUCAACCUGGGAACUGCAUUGGUGACUGGCAGGCUAGAGUAUGGCAGAGGGGGGUAGAAUUCCACGUGUAGCAGUGAAAUGCGUAGAGAUGUGGAGGAAUACCGAUGGCGAAGGCAGCCCCCUGGGCCAAUACUGACGCUCAUGCAGCGAAAGCGUGGGGGAGCAAACAGGAUUAGAUACCCUGGUAGUCCACGCCCUAAACGAUGUCAACUAGUUGUUGGGGAUUCAUUUCCUUAGUAACGUAGCUAACGCGUGAAGUUGACCGCCUGGGGAGUACGGUCGCAAGAUUAAAACUUAAAUGAAUUGACGGGGUCAUAGCUGUUUCCU